Small nucleolar RNA from Abrus precatorius (Indian licorice), 80 nucleotides. RefSeq annotates it as small nucleolar RNA Z105. Lineage: Eukaryota; Viridiplantae; Streptophyta; Magnoliopsida; Fabales; Fabaceae. The transcript has a single exon. The record is from RefSeq and is a predicted model, not a curated record.
UCGGCAUGAUGAUGAUGAUAUUGAUUAAUAUUUUCAUAUGAUGAUUCAAAUGAUGAAUACAAUCCUCCUACUCAUUCUGA